CUGACAGGAAGUGGACUCAGAGGAAGUUGAUGCAAAUUACAGAGUGUCGGUUUGAAUCUGCAGAUGAACUAAGGUAAACUGACCGAAAGUCUGGGAUCAGGUCUCGCAUGUGUGCGGCCUGCGGGGGUGGAGGUGUCUGCGACUAUCAUUAAAGCAGGAAGGUGGUGGAGACGAGUGCACUAGCCAAUCAGAGGGAACCAUAUUUGUCUGUCCAGUGUUUGCUGUGUUGUUUUGGUCGUUGAGUGUAGAAACAUGUCACCUUCAUCCGUACGGAGACGCCUCCCUGAGCGCCUCUCCGUGUCUGUCUGUCUGUGACGCUCCUCCUGCUCCUCCUCCUGUCUGAGCGAGCCGCCGUGUCUCCUCCUCUGCUCCUCUGUCCUUCAGGUAGCGUCUCUGGAGUGCAUCUUUGACGGCUCAACUUUAGGACAGCAUCACCCGGAGCUCCCCUCCCCUACGUCCUCCACUCUCUACCCCCACGGAGAGGAAAGCCCCCUCCCCUCCUGCUCCUCCAACCCUUACCCCCCGAUCCAGCAGGCCGAGGCCGCCCCGCCUUCCUCACCCAUAAUCCCCGUGAUCCCAAUCUUGCCAAUCCCAGCCGAGACCACCGCCAUCCCUCCAACGUCACAGGCCAAUCCUCCGCCUGUGGUGGUCAACGCAGACAGCCUGGACACACCCCUAUACGUGAGUG
Molecule: non-coding RNA, 688 nt
Organism: Neolamprologus brichardi
Lineage: Eukaryota; Metazoa; Chordata; Actinopteri; Cichliformes; Cichlidae
Source: RefSeq, a predicted model, not a curated record